RNAcentral lists this ribosomal RNA (492 nucleotides) under uncultured bacterium. RNAcentral's name for it is "partial 16S ribosomal RNA". It matches the Rfam family "Bacterial small subunit ribosomal RNA", at positions 29 to 507 of the family's 1533-position model. The record is from RNAcentral.
AGUGAACGCUGGCGGUAGGCCUAACACAUGCAAGUCGAACGGCAGCACAGUAAGAGCUUGCUCUUACGGGUGGCGAGUGGCGGACGGGUGAGGAAUACAUCGGAAUCUACUUUUUCGUGGGGGAUAACGUAGGGAAACUUACGCUAAUACCGCAUACGACCUACGGGUGAAAGCAGGGGAUCUUCGGACCUUGCGCGAUUGAAUGAGCCGAUGUCGGAUUAGCUAGUUGGCGGGGUAAAGGCCCACCAAGGCGACGAUCCGUAGCUGGUCUGAGAGUCUGAUCAGCCACACUGGAACUGAGACACGGUCCAGACUCCUACGGGAGGCAGCAGUGGGGAAUAUUGGACAAUGGGCGCAAGCCUGAUCCAGCCAUACCGCGUGGGUGAAGAAGGCCUUCGGGUUGUAAAGCCCUUUUGUUGGGAAAGAAAAGCAGCAGGUUAAUACCCCGCUGUUCUGACGGUACCCAAAGAAUAAGCACCGGCUAACUUCGUG